UUUUAUAUAAUUAAGUAAUAUAAUAUUUUAUUUAUAACCGUAAGUAAAAAGUCGUGGGUUCGAAUCCUAUUAUAGGAG
Colletotrichum orchidophilum is the source of this 78-nucleotide transfer RNA. It matches the Rfam family "tRNA". From Rfam's summary of the family: Transfer RNA (tRNA) molecules are approximately 80 nucleotides in length. Their secondary structure includes four short double-helical elements and three loops (D, anti-codon, and T loops). The record is from Rfam. Lineage: Eukaryota; Fungi; Ascomycota; Sordariomycetes; Glomerellales; Glomerellaceae.